UACGUAGGGUGCGAGCGUUAAUCGGAAUUACUGGGCGUAAAGCGUGCGCAGGCGGCGCGUUAAGUCAGGUGUGAAAGCCCCGAGCUUAACUUGGGAAUUGCGCUUGUGACUGGCGUGCUGGAGUGUGGCAGAGGGAGGUGGAAUUCCACGUGCAGCAGUGAAAUGCGUAGAGAUGUGGAGGAACACCGAUGGCGAAGGCAGCUACCUGGGCCAGCACUGACGCUAAUGCACGAAAGCGUGGGGAGCAAACAGG
This 253-nucleotide ribosomal RNA is filed under the name uncultured bacterium. Its description in RNAcentral is "partial 16S ribosomal RNA". It matches the Rfam family "Bacterial small subunit ribosomal RNA", at positions 524 to 776 of the family's 1533-position model. The record is from RNAcentral.